UCCAGGCCACAGUUCCGAGUGCUAACAGAGAUUAGUAAGCUCAAACUUACUAAAGAGGGUUAUUAGAGGACAGAAACAAACUUUGAUGUAUAUAUAUGAUGUGUGAUGAUGGAUAUACUCUUGUAAUUAACUUUAUGUCUUUGAGCACCAAACUUUGAUGUCCACAAAUAUAUGUAUGAGAUGAAGUAUUUAAAUUGCAUGUUGCUAUGUUAGAAGACCAACCAAUAUCAAUAUAUUUAAAUAAUAACAAUAAAAUAAUAAAUAAAUAAAUAAAUAAAUUAAAAAAUAAACAAAUAAUAUAUAUUUUAAUAUGUUUCCACAGGCGGC
Molecule: long non-coding RNA, 327 nt
Filed under: Sorghum bicolor (sorghum)
Lineage: Eukaryota; Viridiplantae; Streptophyta; Magnoliopsida; Poales; Poaceae
Description: long non-coding RNA (SBIC_LNC012605)
Source: RNAcentral